CCUACGGGUGGCAGCAGUGAGGAAUAUUGGUCAAUGGCCGAGAGGCUGAACCAGCCAAGUCGCGUGAGGGAAGACGGCCCUACGGGUUGUAAACCUCUUUUGUCGGGGAGCAAAGCGAACCACGUGUGGUUCAUUGAGAGUACCCGAAGAAAAAGCAUCGGCUAACUCCGUGCCAGCAGCCGCGGUAAUACGGAGGAUGCGAGCGUUAUCCGGAUUUAUUGGGUUUAAAGGGUGCGCAGGCGGAGGUGCAAGUCAGCGGUCAAAUUGCGGGGCUCAACCUCGCUCCGCCGUUGAAACUGGCGUUCUUGAGUGGGCGAGAAGUAUGCGGAAUGCGUGGUGUAGCGGUGAAAUGCAUAGAUAUCACGCAGAACUCCGAUUGCGAAGGCAGCAUACCGGCGCCCAACUGACGCUGAAGCACGAAAGCGUGGGUAUCGAACAGGAUUAGAUACCCGGGUAGUC
Molecule: ribosomal RNA, 459 nt
Filed under: uncultured bacterium
Lineage: Bacteria
Description: partial 16S ribosomal RNA
Rfam family: Bacterial small subunit ribosomal RNA
Source: RNAcentral